This 253-nucleotide ribosomal RNA is filed under the name uncultured bacterium. Its description in RNAcentral is "partial 16S ribosomal RNA". It matches the Rfam family "Bacterial small subunit ribosomal RNA", at positions 524 to 776 of the family's 1533-position model. The record is from RNAcentral.
GACGUAGGGCGCGAGCGUUGUCCGGAUUUAUUGGGCGUAAAGAGCUCGUAGGCGGCUUGUUGCGUCAGCUGUGAAAACCCGCAGCUCAACUGUGGGCUUGCAGCUGAUACGGGCAGGCUUGAGUUCGGUAGGGGAGACUGGAAUUCCUGGUGUAGCGGUGGAAUGCGUAGAGAUCGGGAAGAACAUCGGUGGCGAAGGCGGUCUGCUGGGCCGAUACUGACGCUGAGGAGCGAAAGCGUGGGGAGCGAACAGG